This 149-nucleotide small RNA is filed under the name Arabidopsis thaliana (thale cress). RNAcentral describes it as "ATSL271960". The record is from RNAcentral. Lineage: Eukaryota; Viridiplantae; Streptophyta; Magnoliopsida; Brassicales; Brassicaceae.
ACUUCUUAGAAGAUAGAAAGACAAAGACACAUACGAACUUCAGCUACACCAUCAAAGCUUUGAGAAGCAAGAAGAAGCUUGGUUAGUGUUUUGGAGUCGAAUAUGACUGAUAUCAUGUGUAUGAUUGAGUAUAAUAACUUAAAUCGCAA